ACCCUCCUGUAAGUCAGUGUGUCAGCACUCUUGGGAGUCCAGCUCUCUCCUGAGGAGAGAGCUGUGGCACAGAAUCACCUUCGGGCACAGAGGGAAACUGGAAGGUGAGUAAACUCAUUCUUAUUCUGAAUAACCAGAGAAAUAUUCCAAGACUUCUAUUUCUAAAGGAAUACAAGUUAAAAUCAAAGUCCCUUUUAAAAUGUUUUCCAUGUGUCUCGGAUUUUUCUUAGUAUGAAUUAUAUCACUAUGUUAAGGAAUCCCAUUUGAAUUUUGAUGAUAGGUUUUGCAUUUGUCCCCUCUUCAUUAUUUUUAAUAUAGACUGGAAAACUUAACAAUCUGUGCUGAUGUACUAUCAUGUGUCCAUUGCUGAACCAUGUUGGUCUGUUUUCUCUAUUUUCUAAAACACUUAUCUGGAAGUUUAGAAUUACCAGAUUCUUCCUAAAACAUAAGAGUAACCUCAAAUGUAUUCUGUUAUAUUUUUAUGUGCCCCAGGUUAAACUAUGAAUAAUCAUUGAUAUUGUAAAAUGUUCUUGAAACAUAAAAUCCAUAGAAAGCUCACUACUGACUUUUUAUAGACAUUGGUGAGUGGUUGUUGUUGCUGCUGCUGUUCUUGUUGUUAGGCACAUUUUCUUGACCAGAGUGAUUUCUGUAAGGGCUGACCCUGCCCUGCUGAGACUGCCCUGAGAUAACAGCUUGGCAAUACCUAACUAACUUUAAUGAAUUUUUCUCUGGAAAUUACUUCAAGUCUUUAUUUUCUUCCAAUGAAUCUAUCUUUUCAAAACUUGAGUCUAAGCCACAGACUCUUGAUAUCAUAGCUUUAUUCCAAAGUAAUUAAAAAAGUCUUCCAAGGUUUAUAAGUUUGAUCUUUCAGUUAAGAUAAAUAUAUAUGCUCUUCCUCCUUCUGACAAGGCCUAGCUUGCCAGCUAAGCAGCAAAGCAUAUGUCUUGCAUUAGAGACUCUUAUCAGGCUGAGAAGAUGCACUCCCACUUCCUGUUCAUACCAUGCGUACGUGCUGUGGAGCUAAAUUAUAAUCAUAGUUGCUUGUCUAUUUUUAAAGUGCAGUUGCAAUGUGAGUUCCUGGCUGCCGUUUAACAGUACAGCCAUACUGCUGCUUUCUCCGCAAGAUGCUAUUUAACAGUAUUUCUCUAGCUAAUUAUGGCAUAUCUUUAUUCCAAUAACUUUCUGGAAAUAAAUUAACCUUGCUCCCUCUCUGGGAAGUUUAUUUGGUAAAUAUGGUAUACAAGAAAUGUUUCUAGAAGCUGAAUAGAGUGAAGCAGUAGUCUGUACGGCACUCAUUUUUAAACAGAGAGAUAUAGAAAGGCAGAGUUGGUCUGACAAGCUAGUAUAAUGAUAAUAAUCUUGCUUUAGAAGGAAUGAUAGAUUAUUUUAAAUCAAAUAAAGCAUAUUUGACAUGUAUCCAUCACCUAUAGCAUAUACUCAGAAAAAUAAACUUCAGAAGUGGACUUGGCUUAUUAAUUGCUGAAGGGCCUUAAUAAUAGUUUAGUUUGGUUGCAUGCUCACAGUGUCUUGCUUGCAGAUAUUAAAUUAACUAGGUAAUGCUGGAGCCAGCAGCCAUAAUAAGUAGAGAUUUUUACAUAUAAGAUUCUGACAUCUCAGUGUAGUCAGGAGUUACGAUGAACGAGGAGAAGAGUAGAGACUGAGGUCAGACCUAGCUAGAGAGAAGAUGUGGACCUGAGUUACUAAUAUUCCCAUUUGACAGGAAGUUUAUCGCUUAGAAUAUAAAUGAGCACCGUGGGGAGGCAGGUCAGCAAGCCACAGAAUCAAUCUCUUUGAACUGUUUGCCUAGAGAAAACGAGUUCCUGAAGUUAUUCUUCAUAUGUUACAACUCUAUCAUUCCUCUUCAGAGCCCUCCUCAUUUUGGCUUCAAGAAGUUGAAGCAUUUGGGUUCAAACAUCUGUUGUUUCUGGAUGGCUUUAAAAUUCCAUUGCAAGCUCAAAAAUGCUCAAAUUGCAAGGCAUGUCCUUCUGCAAAGCUUCUCCAUGGUGUCUGCCCCUCUUUCUCACGAAUUUUCCAAGAACACUUCAUCUGGGCCUUUGACUUCUGUUUUGUUUCUCCCCACUUGGCAGAAACAGAAUGUAUUUCUUCCACACAAAUCCUAGUUUCAAAGACAAAAUUUGGGGCAUGGAAUGCCUUUCUCUGCUGAGUUUUUUCUUUAUGUUCUUGGAAUGCUCUGGAACGUAUGUAAAUACUUUUCAAAGUCAAGAUUCUUUUUUUUUAAACCUUCUUGGACUUACCAAUGCUUGGCUGUUCCGCACUAAUUUCUGCUAGUACGUUGCAAGUUCCCACCAGAUUUUUUGGAAAAAGAUAAUUGUGAUCUGAUAACCUUCAAAGGGUAGUUGGGACACAAAUGAGCUUCUUUUUCUGUGAUCCCUUUGCACUGUUGCUUUAGCCAUUCCAGAUGGGAAUGCAAUCAGCAAAGGGCAGAAUGUAUUUCUCACUGUUAGAGAGCAAUCUGACAGCCACUGAAGGACACAGACUCUUACCUGUCUCACACCAACCUACAGAACUUGGUAACUGCAUCCCUACAACAUUCUUAAUCCAUUGAAAGGUAAAGCUGCAUAGACAUUUAAGAAAAGUAGUGUUUAGGAGGGGGAAAUCAUCUAUUGCCAGAGUAGCUGAAGUGUGUGGUCCUUUAGAAUUUUUGGAGUUGGAUGAGUGAUAUAAUAAUUCCAACUUUUCAGAAAAAAAAAUGACUCUUGGUAUUGACUUUCUUCACAAAGUCACAAAUAUAAAGAAAAAACUUACAAGAUUUCUUUUCCUUUUUUUCCUCAAGCUAGUAAUGAUUAUAAGUUAAUACAACAAGUGUUGUCCUAAAGACUGUGGCUUAUGAAGUAAAUUAUUUAUAGCAAAAUCCUCCAAAAGGUCUUGGUCUUCAAGGGCCUUACCAUCCCAGUAGUUAAUUCUUGGAUCCUUACUGUCCGUUCUAUGAUGACAGUAGUAGCCACCCACCUUCUAGUCCUGUGAGUCAUUAGCUCUAAUCUUCCCUUGGGCCUUCUGACCCUUUCAUCUCCAGAUAAAUAGACCAGUUUCAAAUCUAUCCCAGCCAUGCUCUCUGGACACCCCACCCCCACUCCUGGCUCUGCUAUCCCAUAGACGAAAUGGUGAUGUUUGGAAGGCUGCGUAUCUCAGAGUGUGCUCUGCGGUUUCCUCAUUUUCCUAGGUCCUUGAAAAAGCAUUGCUCACAAAUUAAGGCUCUAUUCCUUUUACGAAAUCAUUACAACUCCUUAUCUGUUGGCUAGAGGGGAUAAUAUUAGAUUUCAUCUUGCCUUUUAUUAUUACAUUUGUGAACAUUUAAAAUAAUCUGAGAAUGGAUUCCACAUUCCUUGACAGAGCUAUUUCUUUUUUGUCUUGUAGAGGGAUGCCACAGGCUUGUCACCAAGAGCAGGAGAUUCAGAAUUAGAUCUGACAUAAGGCCAACGUAUACUGGAGAGCUGUCUUUGCCAAUCUCCACUGUCACACAGCACGGUAGCAGCUCUCAAGAAUCUUACGUAAAGAAGCAGCUGCUUCCUGUGUCUUCUCUCCCUGGAGUUUAUAAACCCCACUCCUUGGUUCUGCAGCCCUCCCACACCUCUGCUUCUGCUUGCUGAAGGUUUGCAGAUAAACAAAGAUUAAGAACAAGACAACUUAGAUAUUCUCUCCCAAAGUUUCAUGCAGCAGCAGAUGGUUAAAAUCAGGUCAGUUGAUGUAGAAACCAGUAUGCUUUGUAAUAUGCUGGGGACCAACUGCAUUUAGGUUGACCCAAAGAAGGCUUUGUGGGUGGAUGACUUGACUGAUUUAUGAAACACUAUCAACAGAGGGAAAAUGGUAGGAUAGCCACCCCUUGUAUAAGUGUUCCAGCACACAAAUCCCUCAGAGCGCUCUCUCUCUCUCUC
Molecule: small RNA, 3893 nt
Filed under: Rattus norvegicus (Norway rat)
Lineage: Eukaryota; Metazoa; Chordata; Mammalia; Rodentia; Muridae
Description: uncharacterized LOC108351664
Source: RNAcentral